RNAcentral lists this transfer RNA (72 nucleotides) under Planctomycetota bacterium. RNAcentral's name for it is "Planctomycetes bacterium tRNA-Glu". It matches the Rfam family "tRNA". From Rfam's summary of the family: Transfer RNA (tRNA) molecules are approximately 80 nucleotides in length. Their secondary structure includes four short double-helical elements and three loops (D, anti-codon, and T loops). Lineage: Bacteria; Pseudomonadati; Planctomycetota. RNAcentral also lists the same sequence under 1 other name. The record is from RNAcentral.
GGCCCCGUCGUCUAGCGGUUAGGACACGGCCCUUUCAAGGCCGGGACCGGAGUUCGAUUCUCCGCGGGGUCA